UAUGAGUAUAGAAUAAAGACAUACAGUGUCUCAAAAAAUUUACCUCCUACCUAUCUUUGGGAUAAAGAUGCUUGGGAAGAUACUAGAGGACGUUUGUCAGCAAACUGGAAGAAGAAAUCAAGAGAAGAGAGAGACUCAAGAAAGCAGCAAAGGGAAGCCCCAGGACUCAUCUAUUCUUCCAUCCAACAAAAAGUUUUGGUUGCCUUGUCUAGGUAAUGGAUCUAGCAUAUCAGGUAAUAAGUGCUAAGAAGGAAAGUAAAGCACAGUUAAGAGACUAUCAGUGACUGGUGCAGGGAAAGCGUACUGUUUUAAAUAGAGUUGUCUGCGAAAGGCUGAGUAAGGUAAAAUUGAACAGAGACUUGAAUGAAGGGAGAGAAAGUGAGCCAUGCAAAUAAUCCAAAGAAUAGCAUUCUGAGGAGAGGGAACAAGUAUGUGCAGAGGUCCUAAGGCAGCAACACUGGCAUGUUUGAGAAAUAGCAAGGGAGGCUAGCUUAGCUGGACCAAUUUGUGGCAGGGAAAAAAGUACAGGAUCGUAGAGGAGUAGGGAUAAGGGGGCACAUCUUUAGUGCUUUGGAGACCAGGGCAGAUGUUUGGCUUUUACUCUGAGAUAUGAAACCAUUGGAAAAUUUAAGCAAAAGUUUCAAGAUUUGACUUAUACUUUAAAAGGAUUAUUCUGACUCCUUUCUGAAAAAUAGAUUGUAGGAGGGUAGGGAGUUAAGUAGGACAAUCAAUUAGAAUACUGUUUCAGUAGUCCAUAUGAAAGAUAUUUGCUUGGACAAGAGCAAUCAUGAUAAUGAGAGUAGUAGGAAAUGGUCAGAUCCUGGCCAUAUUUUGAAGUUAGAGACAAAUAUGAUUUGCAAAUGGAUUAGACACUGGUGCUUGCCUUGAUCCCCUUUCCAGGGAAGACUUGCUGAUGAGCCACAGGGAGUGUGAAGAACAGAAAUUCUCCAGAUAACAGGAUUUCAUGUGCAGCAGCUUCAGAAAACACUUUACCUAAGGGCACAUCCUCCCUAAAUCUGAGGACUGAGCAUGGUGCUGGUGUAAAAAAGCCUUGCCAUUUCAGCCCAAUGCAUCAUGUUAUGUCAGGCAAAACUCACUCCAGAGCUUCCUCCAUUGCAGCUUGACUUCUUCCUGCCCAAUUCUGCUGCUUCCCCCUCCCUUGACAGGUGUUCUCUGGUAAACAUCUUUCUGGCCAAAUUCCAUUCCAUCUCAGGAUCUUCCACAGAACCCAGCUGUGACAGUUGUCCCCAGGAGUGGUCUGAGCUGCCAUUGAGGACUCCAUCACACGUGACACAUGGAACAUAAGGAACCCCUGGCUCAAAGUGGUAGCUUUCACCAGUGUAAAACAAGAGGGUUUACCUGUGGAAGAGAAUGAAUUAGUGAGUGCAGUGUAUUGAGUAUUUGAAACUUAGGAGAGAACAGAUAGAUUAAAGAAUAGCAGAAUUAGAUGGCUAAGUACCACUAAUGCUCUGCAAAAAACAGGCAUCUUUAGUUGUACACAGAGCUCAUUAAGAACUGAAUAGUCUGAAUGGCUGAACUGGUAAUUGUCCUGGGAGAAGAAAUAUUUUAAGUCAACUACAGGAAGUCUGGAAUAGGGACCUAUGGAUAGACAUAUUGGCAUUGAUUGUAAGCAUAAACAGUGCAGGUCUCUGUUUCACAUGUAACACCCACAAGAGCAUCCACUACUGAUGAGGCACUAAUCAAUGAAGAAUACUGAAGAAAUUGUCCAGUUGACAUCACCCAUCCUGCCUCAGUCAUUGGCCAGCUGGUGCUGGUACUUGGGCACAUGAAUGGAGUGUCUACUGGGGAAGAGGUGAAGACUGAGCAUGGGUUCAACUGAGCAAGGCCGAUUUAGCUCCUGCUGCUGCUGAAUGCCCAACCUACAAGCAAUAGAAAGUGACGCUGAGUCCCCAAUAUAAAACCAUUUCUCUAAACCAAUUGUCAAGUUGACUACAUUAGGCCCCUUGAAGUUCCUUGACACAUAUUCCAGAUAUGAGGUUGCUUUUCCUACCCAAAGAGCCUCAGUCAGUACUACCAUCUGAGUACUUAUGCUCUAUUAGAUUUACUAGCAUAAGAUCUCACAUAAUGUUACAUGAAACUAGAGAAAUGGUUUUGCCAAAAAGGAAGUGCAACAGUGGACCCUUAUCCACAGAAUCCACUGAUAAUGGCACAUAUCUCAUCACCCAGAAAGUGCCAUCCUGAUAGAGCAUUGGAGCAACUUGCUGAAGGUACAGCUAAAUGCCAGUUCAGAGGUGAUACUCUGAAAGGGUGGGGUGCCAUACUCCCAAGGUGUGUUAUAUUCACUGGCUCAAAGACUGUGCCUCAAUACAAAAAGUACAAGUCUAGAAGCCAAGAGUGGAAGCAGAAGUGUCCUCCACAAUCACUUCUGAUGACCCUUAGGAUGCUACUUGUGCUUCCUUUCUCCACAGCUCUGAACUCUUCAUGUUACUUCCUAAAGGGGACAUACUUUUCCUAAGGAAUGUAGCAAAAAUCUCAUUGAAAUAUAAGCUGCAGCUGUUAUCUAGGUACUCUAGUUUCUUUGUACCCAAAGACCACCAGGUAAGAAAGCGAGUUACCUUCUUGCCUGGGAUAUUGACUCUUACACUCACUGCUGGGGUGGAAAGGAGUAAGUGUGGAACCUAUGUGAUACACUCCCUAAACUGUGACUGUAAUGAGUAGCUAUAACAAGUCUGUUCUGAAGAAUGCAUGAUGGCAGAAACUCAGGCCCCUCCAAGAAUGAGGAUCUGGGUCACAACACCAGGUAAGCCAACCACAGCAGUGGAGGCAAUGGAGGUAGUAGUGGAGGGUGAGGGAAAUCUAGAAUUGAUAGCAGAGGGGGAGAUGAUGAGGAUUGAUUGUAUUCCCCAGCCUUAGAACAGCAGUAGGGUCUGCAGUUUGUCCCACUAACCUCUAUUUUCUAAGUUCCCCUCAGAAAAAGAGACCUCUUCAUUCUCGUAGAAACUGCUCCCUAGAUAUAUACAUGGAGAAAUCUACUUAGGUGGAGCAAGGGGGUGCAUUGUGGUAAGCAAAGAUAGAGGCUGCCCAGAUAUGCAUUUGAGAAAGCACUUGCUGCCCAGCUGCAAGGAAUGAGGUCAGCAACCUCCAGCUGUCAGCUCCUUCGGAGUCUGGCUCAACUGCAGAGAGCCACUUUGCUUCAGAUCCUGUCCUUCCCAUCUAGUGAGUGAGUGAGAUCAGCUGAAUGUAGCUGCAGAAGUGACCCCAGCACACAUGGAGAGCAACACUAUCUAAGCAGAGAGCUGUGAGAAAUAAUACACAAUGAUGAUGAUGAUGAUUUUACCUUUUUAGGGCCACACUGGUGGCAUAUGGAGGUUCCCAGGCUAGGGGUUGAAUCAGAACUGUAGCCACAGCCACAGCCACAGCAAGGCAAGAUCUGAGCUGAGUCUUCUAUCUACCUCACAGCAAUGCCAGGUCCUUCACCCACUGAGCGAGGCCAGGGAUCAAACCUACAUCCUCGUGGAUACUAGCCAGAUUCAUUUCCACUGAGCCAUAACGGGAACUCCUGUGAUGAUUAUUAUUUUAAAACUAUACACUUUUGGGGGUGCUUGUAUUCAGCAACAUAUACAGAAAUUGGUAUCUGGGGUGGCAUGUUACAUAAAAUGCCAAAACCUAAGGCACUGGCUUUUAGGUUGGGUAGCUGGUGGAGACUGGAGGAGUGGCAAGUAGACUAUUAGUGGAGGACAGAGGGAUGGUGUGGUAGAAAGAUUAAUGCUCCCCCACCCUGAGAUGUCCAUAGCCUAAUCCCCAGAACCUAUGAAUGUGUCACCUUACCUGGUCAAAGGGACUUUUACAGAUGUGAUUAAGGAUCCUUAGGUGUGGAGAAUAUCUCAGAUUAUCUAGAUGGGCUGAAUACAAACACAAGUGUCCUGAAAGUGGAAGAGGACUACAUAAGAGGAGGUCAGAGUGAUGUGAAAUGAGGACUAGACCCACUGUUGCUGGCUUUGCAGAGGGAUGAGAAGAACCACAAGCCAGGGAAUGUGUGCAGCCUGUGGAAGCCAGAAGAGGAAAUGAAACAGAUUCCUCUCCAGACCCUCCAGAGAGGAAUGCCAUUCAGCAAACAUCUUGAUUUUAUUCCUGUGAGAUCAGUUCAGUGUUUGUUUCUAAUCUAUAGACCUAUAUCAUAAUAAAUUUGUGUUAAGCCUGCUUGGUUUAGUGAUAUGUUACACAAAUAGGAGAAAAAAAUAAUACAAAUGGUUGGGAGGCUAUUUACCAAAGCUUGAAGACUAGUGAACAAACUCUUAGUAGAGGGUAGAAAGGCAAUUAUUAAAUGCUGGAAAAUGUAGGACCUGAGUUAUAUGGUAACAGAAUACUUGGCCUAUUUUGCCUGCCAUCACAUAAAGAUAGAAAAUGGGUUUAUAGAUCUCUUUUGAGUUUAUUGGUCUCAAGGAGGUUUCCAGGCAGAGUAGUGAAAGUACCAAGUAACUUUUUAUAACUACUGAUGAUAAUGUACAAGAAGGGAGAAAUGACCUAUAGAAGGAACUAUUUGAUUUAAAAUAAGAAUUUAGAGGAAAUAUUUCCCAUCCAGUCCUUGUCAUUUCUUAGGGAAAAGGAGAAUGACUGGUGAGCUGAGUCAUAAUUCCAGAGGGAGGAGCCAAGAAGCAAGAUGAGGAAUGGAUUAGGAAAUCAUCACCAGGGGAAUGAAAUGAACCACAAUCAAAGACUAUCCCUUGCCUUCAGUGUAGGGGCCCUUACAAUGAUUUUAGUUUUGUGUCUGCUGUUUCCCUGAUCCCCUUUUUGACUGCAAGUGUCUUGUGGUUUUUCUAUCCUAGAAAACUUGGAUGGAGAGAAGCCACUCCCAAGUAGCCGUACCUGAGGUUUUCUCCAUGUUCUGGACCUGAUGUGGGUGAUGAUACUGAACUUAAACUGAUGUAAUCAUGGGAUGAAACUUUUAGGGCACAAGGUUUCUUGGGCAUCUACAUAAACAGCUCUAUCAUUUAUGAAUAGAGGCAAGUUUUUUUCCUUUCCUUCUCACCCAGGACAAGAUGGCUGAUUAGAAAGACAUUUCCUGCAAGAGACCUGAUCUAGACAUAUCUACAUCAAGUCAGAAUGCUCGGGCACCAUCCAAAAGGGCAGAAAAUAUGUUCUGUGUUAUUAAAAAUGCCAGAAUGGAGGUACAAAGUAGUACAAAUUUACACAAGGAACUGGCGAUCCCAAGAAAUGGUUAAAAUAG
This 5188-nucleotide long non-coding RNA is filed under the name Sus scrofa (pig). RNAcentral describes it as "lncRNA (ENSSSCG00000057375.1)". Lineage: Eukaryota; Metazoa; Chordata; Mammalia; Artiodactyla; Suidae. The record is from RNAcentral.